UUUGGCAAUGGUAGAACUCACACUGGUGAGGUAUGGGAUCCGGUGGUUCUAGACUUGCCAACUA
MicroRNA precursor from Oryctolagus cuniculus (rabbit), 64 nucleotides. Ensembl annotates it as ocu-mir-182. Its record names the gene ocu-mir-182. The record is from Ensembl. Lineage: Eukaryota; Metazoa; Chordata; Mammalia; Lagomorpha; Leporidae.